This is a long non-coding RNA of Misgurnus anguillicaudatus (oriental weatherfish), 405 nucleotides long. RefSeq lists it as uncharacterized. The record is from RefSeq and is a predicted model, not a curated record. Lineage: Eukaryota; Metazoa; Chordata; Actinopteri; Cypriniformes; Cobitidae.
GUUUAUAUAUAUGUUUUUAGAUUCUUUUUAACAGCCUUGUUUUUAAGAGACAUUACUGCAGAUGUUAUUGAGGGAAGACAGCCACCCAUCAGCUGCUACUAAACUUAUUAGUUACACACCCUCAGAAAUAAUCCACAGCCCUGAUCUUUAGUACUUCAUCCAUCACCCAACACCUUAGCUCAUUUCCACCUUAAUUCUAUGUUGUGCACAGUUGAUGUGACGGCCCCAUUAUACACCCGGCGCAAUGCAGCACAAAGUGCAACACAAGUGUUUUUUGCUACAGUGAUAUCAACUCAGACCAACUUGAGUCUCUUGGACAUAAAUAAGGACCGAUUAAGAGACGUUAGAAGACGUAAAGAGCUGCUUCACCUGUAGCCUGGUAAGUUAUUAAAUGUGACCUCUGCA